CUUGUCCGGAAAUAUUCGAAACCUCAUUAGGAGUUUAGCUCUCAUUAGAUUAGGAUGUUAUUCGCAAAGUGUUUUUUAAAUAUUUUUUUGGAUUGAAAAUAUCAUGAGUGUUUUUCUAAAAUAUAGUGAUUUUGACAAUAAUUUAGCUAGGAAUUUUAAAACCAUUUUUUAAAUUGUAAUUAUAUUAGCUAGGAAAGUAUCAAACUAAUUAGGUAGAUUGGGUUAAAAAAAAUUAUUUGAAGUAUUCUUUCGAGUAAUUUGAAGACAUUAAGAAGAGGAAAUACAAAAUGAAAAAGAGAGUGUCAUAACAGAGCAUAAACUUCUGAGGGAGGCAGCACGGAGUACACGAAACGACAAAAAACGGAUGAAUCUUCACAACAUACACCCAGCAUCUUUGAUUCUAUUGCUAAAAGAAAAAAGAUACACAAAAAGUGCAUGGAAUAUUCAAGAAUUCUCCAAAGAGCAACACAGUUUCAAACAGGAAUUUCCUUUCAAUUUCCGGUCAUCUCUGAUGCACUGAACACGCAUCGCACUGCAGUCUUGAGAGGGAACAUAAAGGAAAGAGUAUUCAACAGGACACUGAAGUUGUACUUUGAAUCUUCGUUCUUAACAUUAUAAAGGAAGAGGAAACAAAAGAUGAAAAGGGUUUCGGCGUCAACUUUAGCAACAUUCUUCGUUCUGAAAAGGAGGGGAAUCACCUGAAAUGCAGAGGGAUGGUUCAAGUCUGAUGCUACCUUUGGAUCGACAACAGUUAUGCUGCGUUAAUUUAAAUAAAAGUUUUUUUUAUAAAAUCAAAUGUUUUUUUAUUUUUAAGAAUUGUACCAACAAAAAAAACCUUUGUAUGUAUAAAUUUUGCAAAUUUUUUUCUUUGUUUUAAAAAAUAGUAAAUCAUAAAUAAAUAUACUUUAUUCAAGAAAGGCGUAUUAUGGUUACUAUAGGCUACCUGUGCCGGUGCUUGUUAAGUUCUCCCAUAAUCCACUGGUCAAUACCAUUAUUACCCUAAAGUCAUAAUGGGUACUUUAUUGACCUGCGAGCGGUCAAUAAAGGUACAGGUAGAUAAAGUAUCCAUAAUACGCCUAAGUUGCAUAAACGUUAUUUUUACGUUUUCUAAAUUUCUUUUGAAUAAAAACUUAAUAAGUAAAUAAAUUGUUUUUAACAUUAAACAAACAAAAAUUAUAGAAUAUUAGAAAAACUAAUUCAUUGAAGUAAAGAAA
Leptopilina heterotoma is the source of this 1214-nucleotide long non-coding RNA. RefSeq lists it as uncharacterized. The record is from RefSeq and is a predicted model, not a curated record. NCBI's taxonomy places the organism in Eukaryota, Metazoa, Arthropoda, Insecta, Hymenoptera, Figitidae. The transcript has 6 exons.